UGGCGACAUCAUAAUUAUAAUGUCGAUCGAUGUAAUAAUCUGAAGCCAUGCACCGAGGAACACGAUGAAGAAGUACAAAUAAAAGCGUGUGGGGAACAUACAUAUAUUGCGUGAGGUUGGGUUUAGUAAUGUAUGUGGCUAGUGAUCAUCAAUGAAUCCGUCUGGAGUCAGGACUGAAGUCACCGAGUCAGUGUAUAUAUUCAUUAUUCAAACUUCAAACUCAUGUCCUUUCCUGCGGCUAUGAAG
RNAcentral lists this long non-coding RNA (246 nucleotides) under Glycine max (soybean). Its description in RNAcentral is "long non-coding RNA (GMAX_LNC003806)". The record is from RNAcentral. Lineage: Eukaryota; Viridiplantae; Streptophyta; Magnoliopsida; Fabales; Fabaceae.